Molecule: non-coding RNA, 2631 nt
Organism: Arachis ipaensis
Lineage: Eukaryota; Viridiplantae; Streptophyta; Magnoliopsida; Fabales; Fabaceae
Source: RefSeq, a predicted model, not a curated record
CUACCCAACCCACACACACAUGUACCCCCCUACCACCUGUUCAUUCUCCACUGAGCCACUUCACCCUUUCUCACCGCUACUCACUCACAGAACUCACCACACACCAAAUAAACAAACAUGCACAGACAUAUAAACAUACAUAGAGGGACAAAGAGAUCUGAGAGUGAGAACCGAAGGGAGAAGAGGAGAGGAGGGGAAGCCGCACCUUGCCGCCGCUACUGUCCGUGAAGUCAUCUUCAUUACGGAUCAGAACUGAGGCGAGAGAGGGGACCGCGAUGGAGGAAGGAAUCGCACCGCCCAGUCGCCGUCCAUGGGGAGUCAUCGCUGGCGUUGUCGCGAGGAGGAGAGGAGCUCGCGUCGGAGGAGAAGAGCCUUCGCGUUCUACCACCGCUGAGGGACCAGUCGCCGUUAAAACCGUCACUGCUGUUGUGUUCCGUCACCGCCACCACGUCGUGACCCCGUCGUCACCACCGAAGGCUCUAGCGCUGCCGCUACUUCUAUGGCCGCCAUCAUCUGUUGCAUGUGCGAAAGGAGAGAGGAGCCUUGAGAACAAGGAAAGGAGUCGUGUGAGGCUUGUGCCGAGAGGCAGAGGGCUGUUCAGCCGCCACCGCUGCUGCCAUGAUCACCGUUGCGGUUUCAAAAAAAAGGGGAAUGCCGUCGAAGUACCUCUAAUAUGGUUGCAAAACUUUUCCAAAAGAUUCAAGAAAUGGUAAAGAAGAAAGCAAUCUAGUAUUUAUUUUGAUUGGUGAGGCAGAACAAAAUUUAACUUAAUGCUAUAUGCUUGUCAUGUGCUUUGGGUUAAGUGUGUGGUCAUGCAGAUGAAGUUGAAAGCCUUGCUGCGGCGAGGAAAGCUGCUAUAUCCGGUUCAGAACCUUUAGAUUCUAUUCGGGUCUGCUGCAGCUGCAAAUAAACUAGAGCAGGCCGGUUUCUCAAAUGUAGCAUGCAUAACAUCUGGCCUUCAAACUGUAAAACUAGGUACAUUUGAUUCUAUGGGAUCCAAGGACUUGCAAGAUGUCGAAAAAGCUGGUUUGGUGACAAUCCAAGGGAAAAUCUCAACUGUAUUGGGAACAAUUCUUGUUUAUGCUGCUACUCAUAAGAAUCUGAUGAGCAUGGCCUUUGAGCAUAACAACAUUUAUUGAGUAUAAGCUCAUCGAUGAAGAGCAAACACUCAUCUCUUAUUACUAUUGAGUUGAGCUUUGUUUUGGACAAACUUCUUGGCGUCACAUGCAAAGUGAUCAAUGUUAGAUCCGGAGCUGAGCUUCCGGAAAAAUGUCGAGAGCUAGCAUUGCACUUUGAGACCCAAGGAACACCUAUUAUGAUUGGUGGUGGUGUACUUGCAUAUACACUCUUGGGAGUGGAUUACUAUUUCGAAAUAAAUUCCCUCACCAUCUUUGAUUUCUUAAGAUUCAAUUGAUUAGAAUCGAGCUGAGAGUCCCCCAAUAUGGUUGGACCACCCAGAAGAUCUUCUAUCUCAUGAACUUCCUCGUCAACACUCUACGCGCCCUCGUCUUUGGAUUUCACUCCCAAGUCUUCCUCCUCCAUCCCAAGGUGUUGAUUUUGGUGCUCUUGGACCUUCCUGGCAUCCUGUUUUUCUCUACUUGUACACUUCUAGUCCUUUUCUGGGCUGAAAUUUAUCGUCAGGUAUGCCUCCCCCAUUUCUUCACUGCGCUCUCUUUUACAAUUACUCUUACAAUCCAUUCUAACUGACUCACUGAGCAGGCAAGGAGUUUGUCCACUUAUAAUUUCAGGCUUGUUUAUAUCUCUAUCAAUGCUGCCGUCUAUUUCAUCCAGGUAGUGUGCUUUCCUGCUACCUUUACUUCAAUCACAAGCUACUAGACUAGUUAAGAAUUUUAAUUGCUUUGCAAAAAUCCAAUUAUAGAUUUCUACUAUUUGAGUUAUACUUGUAUUUAGUUGCCACAAGAAGCAUUUCAAGAUGGCAUAAGUUUCUCCCAGAGCUAAAUAGAAGAAAACAAAUUUCUCCUUUGAUAGAUGAUAUCGAUUAUCGCAAUGAUUAAAGCGUGAUUUGGAUUCAGGUUUGUAUUUGGCUGUACCUCUGGAUAGAUCACAAUAGUGUUAUUGAGCUCGUUGGAAAUAUAUUCAUUGUAGGUUAGUUUUUAAAGCAAAUAUCAAUUUGUAUUUCAUACCCACAUUAAGAAUGUGUUUUUGCCACCAGAAUACAAUAUCUUGCUAAAUGUGUGGCCUUUUCUCUUAUGAGAUUAUUUUUCUUCUGUGCACCUGUGUCAUUUAUGGCUGCAUUAGGGUUCCUUAUAUAUGGAGGAAGGUGAGGCUUUUGCAUUUGAUUCAAUCUAAUACUCGAUCCACACUAUACAGGCACAGAUGAUCUGAAAAAGAUCGUUAAUGGUGGAUGGUGUGGCUGGAAGAAAGCUGUUGAUAGCAAGGGAAAGAAUUUCUUCUUGCAUGAUAACUUUUAUAAUCUCCUUCUACCACAGAGGCCCAACAUGGUUUGAUAAGAUCAUUUUUAUGGAGGGUAACAGUUUCUAGUUUGUACCAAUUUUCUUGCAAUGGAAUGGUAGUUUUUCAUGGUUGGAAUUUGAUCCUUCAACUAUAAUAGUUAAUUUUUGUAAUAAUGAUUCUUUUAAAGUUUUGUAGUUUAAUAUAUUAGUGCUUUUG